Molecule: ribosomal RNA, 305 nt
Filed under: uncultured bacterium
Lineage: Bacteria
Description: bacterial SSU rRNA
Rfam family: Bacterial small subunit ribosomal RNA
Source: RNAcentral
UGGUGCCUACGGGGGGCAGCAGUGAGGAAUAUUGGUCAAUGGGCGAGAGCCUGAACCAGCCAAGUCGCGUGAGGGAGUACUGCCCUAUGGGUUGUAAACCUCUUUUGUCGGGGAGCAAAAGCCGGACGUGUCCGUCUGUGAGUGUACCCGAAGAAAAAGCAUCGGCUAACUCCGUGCCAGCAGCCGCGGUAAUACGGAGGAUGCGAGCGGUAUCCGGAUUUAUUGGGUUUAAAGGGUGCGCAGGCGGAUUUUUAAGUCAGCGGUCAAAUAGUGGGGCGCAACCCCAUCCAGCCGUUGAAACUGGG